CUAACUCCAGUUAAUUAAUUAAUCAUUUGAGUUAAGAGUGUAAGUCAAAGUUAAAAGUCAAAUUGGGAGAAUUGCAUUUUCACCUUGAAUAUUAUUAUUUGGAAUAAUUGCAUUUUCACCUUGAAUAUUAUUAAUUGGGAGAAUUGCAUUUUCACCUUGAAUAUUAUUAAUUGGGAUAAUUGCAUUUUCACCUUGAAUAUUAUUAUUAUUAUUAUCUUUUGACACUUUAUUCAAGGUAUAAUAUUCCAAGGGGACAAAACACUAUUCAAGUUUGAAUUUAUACAAAGAUAAGAUUCUCCAACAAAACUCUAUCCAAGAAAAACACUAUUCAAGAUAAGAUCAAAGACAAAGCUUGGAUUUAUGUGAGAAAUCAAGGAGCCAUCCAUUGAAGAUCCAA
This 397-nucleotide long non-coding RNA is filed under the name Zostera marina. Its description in RNAcentral is "long non-coding RNA (ZMAR_LNC003494)". The record is from RNAcentral. Lineage: Eukaryota; Viridiplantae; Streptophyta; Magnoliopsida; Alismatales; Zosteraceae.